GACGAACGCUGGCGGCGUGCUUAACACAUGCAAGUCGAACGGAAAGGCCUGCUUUCCCUUGUGGAUUGCGGGUACUCGAGUGGCGAACGGGUGAGUAACACGUGAGUGAUCUGCCCCCAACUUGGGUAUAAGCCUGGGAAACUGGGUCUAAUUCCCGAUAGGACUGCAGGGUGGUGCCUGUGGUGGAAAACGAUUUUCUAGUGGUUGGGGAUGAGCUGGCGGCCUAUCAGCUUGUUGGUGGGGUAAUGGCCUACCAAGGCGGCGACGGGUAGCCGGCCUGGGAGGGUGGACCGCCACAUUGGGACUGAGAUACGGCCCAGACGCCUACGGGAGGAAGCAGUGGGGAAUAUGGCACAAUGGGCGGAAGCCUGAUGCAGCGACGCCGCGUGGGGGAUGACGGCCUUCGGGUUGUAAACUCCUUGCGACCGCGAGGAAGCCACCUGGUUGGAAGGGUGGUGACGGUAGUGGUAGAAGAAGCACCGGCUAACUACGUG
This 494-nucleotide ribosomal RNA is filed under the name uncultured bacterium. RNAcentral's name for it is "partial 16S ribosomal RNA". It matches the Rfam family "Bacterial small subunit ribosomal RNA", at positions 28 to 507 of the family's 1533-position model. The record is from RNAcentral.